AGUGAACGCUGGCGGUAGGCCUAACACAUGCAAGUCGAACGGCCGCACAGUAAGAGCGUGCCCUUACGGGUGGCGAGUGGCGGACGGGUGAGGAAUAGAUCGGAAUCCACUUUUUCGUGGGGGAUAACGUAGGGACACUUCCGCUAAUACCGCAUACGACCUACGGGUGAAAGCAGUGGAUCUUGGGACCUUGCCCGACUGAAUGAGCUGAAGUCGGAUUAGCUAGUUGGCUGGGUAACGGCUCACCAAGGCGACGAUCCGUAGCUGACCUGAGAGGAUGAUCAGCCACACUGGAACUGAGACACGGUCCAGACUCCUACGGGAGGCAGCAGUGGGGAAUAUUGGACAAUGGGCGCAAGCCUGACCCAGCCAUGCCGCGUGAGUGAUGAAGGCCUUCGGGUUGUAAAACUCUUUUGUUAGGAAAGAAAAACAGCAGAUGAAUCCACCCCUGUUCUGACGGUACCCAAACAGUAAGCACCGGCUAACUUCGUG
This 492-nucleotide ribosomal RNA is filed under the name uncultured bacterium. RNAcentral describes it as "partial 16S ribosomal RNA". It matches the Rfam family "Bacterial small subunit ribosomal RNA", at positions 29 to 507 of the family's 1533-position model. The record is from RNAcentral.